CAAUAUGCAGGCGGGCUGGACCUCUCGGGGUUACAGCCUUGCUGAAUUAUUCACCCUUGUCUUUUGCGUACUUCUUGUUUCCUUGGUGGGUUCGCCCACCACUAGGACAAACAUAAACCUUUUGUAAUUGCAAUCAGCGUCAGUAACAAAUUAAUAAUUACAACUUUCAACAACGGAUCUCUUGGUUCUGGCAUCGAUGAAGAACGCAGCGAAAUGCGAUAAGUAGUGUGAAUUGCAGAAUUCAGUGAAUCAUCGAAUCUUUGAACGCACAUUGCGCCCUUUGGUAUUCCAAAGGGCAUGCCUGUUCGAGCGUCAUUUGUACCCUCAAGCUUUGCUUGGUGUUGGGCGUCUUGUCUCUAGCUUUGCUGGAGACUCGCCUUAAAGUAAUUGGCAGCCGGCCUACUGGUUUCGGAGCGCAGCACAAGUCGCACUCUCUAUCAGCAAAGGUCUAGCAUCCACUAAGCCUUUUUUUCAACUUUUGACCUCGGAUCAGGUAGGGAUACCCGCUGAACUUAAGCAUAUCAAAAGGCGGAGGAA
Molecule: ribosomal RNA, 537 nt
Filed under: Alternaria alternata
Lineage: Eukaryota; Fungi; Ascomycota; Dothideomycetes; Pleosporales; Pleosporaceae
Description: eukaryotic LSU rRNA
Rfam family: 5.8S ribosomal RNA (bases 162-315)
Source: RNAcentral